Molecule: ribosomal RNA, 484 nt
Filed under: uncultured bacterium
Lineage: Bacteria
Description: bacterial SSU rRNA
Rfam family: Bacterial small subunit ribosomal RNA
Source: RNAcentral
AUGAACGCUAGCGGCAGGCUUAACACAUGCAAGUCGAGGGGCAGCGUGGAGCAGCAAUGCUCUGACGGCGACCGGCGGAAGGGUGCGUAACACGUGAGCGACUUGCCCGUCACAGGGGGAUAACCGGCGGAAACGGCGACUAAUACCCCAUACGAUGUGAUGCUGCAUGGCAUUGCAUUGAAAGAUUCAUCGGUGGCGGAUAGGCUCGCGGGACAUUAGCUAGACGGCGGGGCAACGGCCCACCGUGGCGACGAUGUCUAGGGGUUCUGAGAGGAAGGCCCCCCACACUGGGACUGAGACACGGCCCAGACUCCUACGGGAGGCAGCAGUGAGGAAUAUUGGUCAAUGGGCGGAAGCCUGAACCAGCCAUGCCGCGUGAAGGACUAAGGCCCUACGGGUCGUAAACUUCUUUAGACGCAGAGCAAUAAGGUCCACGCGUGGACCGAUGAGAGUAUGCGUAGAAUAAGCAUCGGCUAACUCCGUG